UGGGGAAUAUUGGACAAUGGGCGAAAGCCUGAUCCAGCCAUGCCGCGUGUGUGAAGAAGGUCUUCGGAUUGUAAAGCACUUUAAGUUGGGAGGCGUUACCGACAGAAUAAGCACCGGCUAACUCUGUGCCAGCAGCCGCGGUAAUACAGAGGGUGCAAGCGUUAAUCGGAAUUACUGGGCGUAAAGCGCGCGUAGGUGGUUCGUUAAGUUGGAUGUGAAAGCCCCGGGCUCAACCUGGGAACUGCAUCCAAAACUGGCGAGCUAGAGUACGGUAGAGGGUGGUGGAAUUUCCUGUGUAGCGGUGAAAUGCGUAGAUAUAGGAAGGAACACCAGUGGCGAAGGCGACCACCUGGACUGAUACUGACACUGAGGUGCGAAAGCGUGGGGAGCAAACAGGAUUAGAUACCCGGGUAGU
RNAcentral lists this ribosomal RNA (415 nucleotides) under uncultured bacterium. Its description in RNAcentral is "bacterial SSU rRNA". It matches the Rfam family "Bacterial small subunit ribosomal RNA", at positions 355 to 794 of the family's 1533-position model. The record is from RNAcentral.